CGACGAAUUCUUGCUAAAAAGUGAGACUUGAAGUCUGGGUCUGUCUACCUCAUAAUCCACAGGAAAUACAGGGGAGUGAAGAGCAUGCCGUGGAUGAUGAGCAGAAUUGCUGCGGUCGGCCUCGACCGUGGGCUCAGCCCAGGCCCCCGCAGUAGAAGGGGCGAGCAUGAAGAUUGGUGGAUUCUCAGAGAGCGUUUACACUGCACGUCUUCACAGCAUCUUCACCAGGAGUAAAUUCUGUCUCAAGCAACCGCUUCCUUCGCUUAUCCAUGGGAAGCAGCUCCUCCUCUGUUCAGACUUCAUCCUGAGGUCCAUGCGCUUCAGUCCCGUCUUCAGGCUCCGUGUGUGACUGCAGUCCUCCUGCUGUUCCAGUACACUCACUGCUGCUUCCUCCACUGAAGUCUCUUAUUCCUUUUUUUUUUUUUAAAUUGACGAGUAUUUCUUUACAGAAUUUUGUGGGUUUUUGUCAUACAUGAACAAGAAUCUUGAGCCCUGAGAAGCCACCCCUGAGGGCUGGGAUCCACUUCCUGCAGCUCCUGUUACUGUGGACGUUCUGACCUCUUUGCACAGAUCACAAACGUCCUUGGCAGCAUCUGAAAUGCCGACUCCUCUCCAGGAGGUUGCCCAGAUCCAUCGAAGAACUGCUGUCUAUGGCAGCUAUAGCCUUGUGAGAUGGGUUUCUUAAAUGACAGGACUUGAAAGUCAGGGCUCCGUGGGCUGCAGGUUGGCUGUGUUAGCAGGUGUGAAACAGCUCGAGCCUCAUCAUCCGUCAGAGCUCUUGGUCAGUGAGCAGUAAUUGGGAAAGAAUCUUGUUUUCUGAGCAGUAGGUCUCAACAGUGGGCUUAAAAUAGUAAAAAAAAAAAAAAAGAAAGAAAGAAAGUGUUAGUUGCUCAGUCAUGUCUGACUCUUUGUGACCCCAUGGACUGUAGCCCACCAGGCUCCUCUGUCCAUGGAAUUCUCUAGGCAAGAUUACUGGAGUGGGUUGCUAUUUCCUUCUCCAAAGGAUUUUCAUGACCCAAGGAUCAAACCUGGGUCUCCUGCAAGAUUCUCUACCAUCUGAGUCACCAGGAAAUUUUUUAAAAUAGUAAACUAUGCAGUAAAUUGCUGUCAUCCCAACUUUGUUGUUCAUUUACAGAGCACAGGCAAAGUAGAUUUAACACGAUUCUUAAGGGCCCCAGGAUUUUCAGAUGGUAGAUGAGCACUGGCCUCACUUGGUCACCAGCUGCCAGAGCUGCU
Long non-coding RNA from Bos taurus (domestic cattle), 1236 nucleotides. Lineage: Eukaryota; Metazoa; Chordata; Mammalia; Artiodactyla; Bovidae. The record is from Ensembl.